Molecule: long non-coding RNA, 806 nt
Filed under: Helianthus annuus (common sunflower)
Lineage: Eukaryota; Viridiplantae; Streptophyta; Magnoliopsida; Asterales; Asteraceae
Description: hypothetical non coding rna
Source: RNAcentral
GUGCAGUUCCUGCCGGGUAACUGUCGCUUAUCAGUUCUGGUCAACCAAAGCAGAAGUCCAAGUUAAAGUCAACCAUAACGAAGAAUUCAAGACCACAUGAAGACAUGCAUUGAUCAAGGGGGAGUUGUUAAUACACUUUGAGUGAAAAGUGCAUGCCUUCCAAUUGUUAGGGUCUUUGGUGUACAUGUCUUGAAAGUUAGUCCCAAGUUUAUCCUAGGGACAACUUGUCCAAGUUUUAGGAGAACUUUUGUCAGAGUUUUAUGUGUAGAAUUGGUUUGUCCGAGGUUUAGUCCCUAGCCUAUAUAUAUGUGUGUAUUGUGUAGAUUAGGGCAACCAUAACUCUUGAAGCUUUGUGCGGCUCUCCCACUCGUUCAUCCUUCUGUGUGAAUUCUAGAGAGAGAGAGACUAUGUGUUAGUGAGAGAAAGCUAGGGUUUAGAUCUUUGUGAUCUAAACCAGCUUGUAGAUGAUGUAUACUCCUUUGGUUUGUGUAAUCUGUGAUGACUGAUUCAUAAUAAAGAGUUCAUCUUCUACAUCUUUCUAUCGUGUUCUUCAUAUUUUGUUCUUCAUGUCUUGAAUCAAGUGCAAUGUUUGAUGUUCGUCAUCGAUCCAGUGCUUUCACAGUGGUAUCAGAGCGUGGUUACCGAUUCAGAAUGGUCUAACCGCCUUCUGAAUCACCAUUGCCCUUGAUUUGAUGUUUGUUUCCGCCAAACAUCUUGAAGACUUGAAGAUUUUGAAGAAAGGUUUGAAGAAAAUGAAGCUGUUCGUGGUUGUUUUGUUCUCCAAGUUGUUGCAGAUGUUUUGGUGA